GCUGCUUGCCUAGAGAUCCAGAUGAAAACUUUAAGGCUCCCCAUGAGGAUAUUUUGGUGACCAAAAAAAGUGACCAGGAAAAAUUCCUGCCUAGAAUUUAGGAGAAUAUAAGAGCUAGAAGAUUCCUCUGGUAUAUGCCUCCUGAAGAGGAAUGUGGCUGGCCCCACUGAUAGUUAUUGUGCCAUGGGGACUCAUGGACCAUGGCCAGGACAGAUUCCCCAACACACAGACUAUGACCAAGUGGUGAAGGACAGUAUAUCAUCAGGAGACCUGGAGUGAUUUCAUGGAGAUCUGGAGCAUAUUAUACUUUACAAACCACCAAUAAAUUUGGGAAAUGUUGCACCUAUAAUCCCCUUCCUGGAUAGUCACAGUGUGCAUAGCACAUUGAUGACUUUAAGAAGUUCUGCACUAAAGAAGAUUCUUCAACUCAUCUGACCAUGAUACUUCAUAUUCAGAAAAGACUUAUGUGUCAGUCAAGAUAAUCUUAGUAUGGCUGCUGUGUCAGACAACCUCUGAACCUCACUGGCUUAAAAUAGCAAGGUUUACUUCUCAUUCAUGUUGUAUAUCCAUUGUUGGUUGACUGGAGAUCUUGUGCGGUGUGGUCUUCACUCUGGGAUCCAAGGUGUUAGAGCAAGCACCAUCUGAGCAUCUUUGGUUGCUCUGGCAGAAGGAAGAUAAACAUCCCCAAGCUGAAAGGAAGAGUACUGAGAACAAAUUAAAAGUAUCAUGUGAUAGCUGUACCACAAAGAUGGAUUAAAACAGCCCUAUCCACACACCAUACCACCUUCAGACUGUGGUAAAUCUACUGCAACAUUAUUAAAGUAUUCCAUAUAUAUUUUAUUUUUAUAAUAAUGAAUCUGAUAAGCUCUAAUAUCCUUUG
Molecule: non-coding RNA, 880 nt
Organism: Microcebus murinus (gray mouse lemur)
Lineage: Eukaryota; Metazoa; Chordata; Mammalia; Primates; Cheirogaleidae
Source: RefSeq, a predicted model, not a curated record